CCCAGACUCCUACGGGAGGCAGCAGUGGGGAAUAUUGCACAAUGGGGGAAACCCUGAUGCAGCAACGCCGCGUGGGUGAAGAAGUAUUUCGGUAUGUAAAGCCCUAUCAGCAGGGAAGAGAAUGACGGUACCUGGCUAAGGAGCCCCGGCUAACUACGUGCCAGCAGCCGCGGUAAUACGUAGGGGGCAAGCGUUAUCCGGAUUUACUGGGUGUAAAGGGAGCGUAGACGGUUGUGCAAGUCUGAAGUGAAAGCCCGCGGCUCAACUGCGGAACGGCUUUGGAAACUGUGUAACUGGAGUGCUGGAGAGGUAAGCGGAAUUCCUGGUGUAGCGGUGAAAUGCUUAGAUAUUGCGCAGAACUCCGAUUGCGAAGGCAGCAUACCGGCGGCGAUCUGACGCUGAGGCACGAAAGCGUGGGUAUCGAACAGGAUUAGAUACCCUAGGAC
This 446-nucleotide ribosomal RNA is filed under the name uncultured bacterium. Its description in RNAcentral is "partial 16S ribosomal RNA". It matches the Rfam family "Bacterial small subunit ribosomal RNA", at positions 330 to 795 of the family's 1533-position model. The record is from RNAcentral.